RNAcentral lists this long non-coding RNA (1506 nucleotides) under Macaca fascicularis (crab-eating macaque). RNAcentral's name for it is "lncRNA (ENSMFAG00000053708.1)". Lineage: Eukaryota; Metazoa; Chordata; Mammalia; Primates; Cercopithecidae. The record is from RNAcentral.
CUCCGUCCAGGUACCAUGAGUCACCUGGCCAAGCGCACACAGCAAGUCGCUGGCAGAGGUGAGACCUCGGGUCUCCUCAGCCCAAUCUAGGGAGUCUGCCAUCCAACAGUCAUGCAUAAAGCGGCCCACUACGACCUGCAUCAUCUACCGCUGUUAAAUUACUUGUUUCCAAGCUUACCGUACUUUGUAUCAGAUGAUCAAUGCAUUUAAAAUCAGCAGAUACAGUGAGAUGUCUGCUUUCUAAUAAUAUAUAGCUUUAAUAAUAAUAGCGUUCAUGGUAGCUAUUUCUCAAACAAGAAACAUGACUUAUCGUAAGUUUCUAUGGCUGGACACAGUGGCUCACACCUUUAAUCCCAGCACUUUGGAAGGCCAAGGUGAUAUGGUUUGGCCUCGUCCCCACCCAAAUCUCAUCUUGAAUUGUAGUUCCCAUAAUCCCCACAUGUUGUGGGAGGGACUUGGUAGGAGGUAAUUGAAUCAUGAGGGCAGUUCCCCCAUGUUAUUCUCAUGACAGUGAAUAUGUUCUCACGAGAUCUGAUGGUUUUAUAAGGGGCUUCCCCCUUCACUUGUCAUUCUCUUCCAUACCACCCUGUGAAGAGCUGCCUUCCACCAUGAUUGUAAGUUUCCUGAGGCUUCCCCAGCCAUGCAGAACUGUGAGUCAAUAAAAUUCCUUACUUUUGGCUCAUUCAUUAUAAAUUACCCAGUCUUAGGUAUUUCUUCAUAGCAGUGUGAGAUUAGACUAAUACACAAGACAAGAGGAUUGCUUGAACUCAGGAGUUUGAGACCAGCCUAGACAACAAAGUUUCCACCUACACCUACACCUACACCUACACCUACACACACACACACACACACACACACACAAAAUGAGCCAGGCGUGCUGGCACCUUGUCCCAGUUGCUUGGGAGACUGAGGUGAGAGGAUCGCUUGAGCCCAGGAGUUCGAGGCUGCAGUGAGCCAAGAUCACACCACUGCACUCCAGCCUGGGCGACAGGGUGAGUCCCAGUCUCAAAAAUAAGUACAUUUCUAUAAAAUUUGAAAAAUAAAGGAGAAGAAUCUACCACUCUGGGUGAGGCCCUUAUUAAUAGUAGCCAGUACUAUAAACUCAGGUGUCUGUUUGCCUGACCUUUGCAGGAUUUCACAAAUGCACUAAGUCUGUUGUCAGGACUCCCAUGCCUGGACCUUGCCUGGAACCCCCUAGUCACUUGCCUGGCUCCCUUUCUGGAGCCCUGCCCAGAGGCAGCUGCUUUCUCACACCACCCUGUCCAGCUCUUCCCUCUCCCCCCAGCAGCAGCAGCUCCCACUCCUCCUCCCGCCCUUGUCCUUGGCCCUCCGCAUGGCAUCCACCAUGUGCCUCCAGUCACAGCGACGUCAGUCUUUCUAGACAGUAAGCUGUUUGUCUUUUACACUUGCUACAACAUCAAGCAUAGCACAGAGCCAACAGCUGGCCAAAUAUGUGAAGUGUUGUCAUUUUAGUUACUAUGCUAAAAAAAAAAAAAAAAAAAAAAA